This 253-nucleotide ribosomal RNA is filed under the name uncultured bacterium. Its description in RNAcentral is "partial 16S ribosomal RNA". It matches the Rfam family "Bacterial small subunit ribosomal RNA", at positions 524 to 776 of the family's 1533-position model. The record is from RNAcentral.
UACGUAGGGGGCUAGCGUUGUCCGGAAUCAUUGGGCGUAAAGAGCGUGUAGGCUGCUCGGUAAGUCCGCUGUAAAAGUCAAAGGCUCAACCUUUGAAUGUCAGUGGAUACUGCCGGGCUAGAGUCCGGAAGAGGCGAGUGGAACUCCUGGUGUAGCGGUGGAAUGCGUAGAGAUGUGGAGGAACACCGAUGGCGAAGGCAGCCCCCUGGGCUAACACUGACGCUCAUGCACGAAAGCGUGGGGAGCAAACAGG